This 513-nucleotide ribosomal RNA is filed under the name uncultured bacterium. RNAcentral's name for it is "partial 16S ribosomal RNA". It matches the Rfam family "Bacterial small subunit ribosomal RNA", at positions 28 to 523 of the family's 1533-position model. The record is from RNAcentral.
GACGAACGCUGGCGGCAUGCCUAAUACAUGCAAGUCGAGCGAACGGAUGAAGUGCUUGCACUUCUGACGUUAGCGGCGAACGGGUGAGUAACACGUAAGGAAUCUACCUAUAAGCGGGGGAUAACAUUCGGAAACAGGUGCUAAUACCGCAUAAUAUCUUCUUCCGCAUGGAAGAAGAUUGAAAGACGGCUCUGCUGUCACUUAUAGAUGACCUUGCGGUGCAUUAGUUAGUUGGUGGGGUAAUGGCCUACCAAAACGAUGAUGCAUAGCCGACCUGAGAGGGUGAUCGGCCACAUUGGGACUGGGACACGUCCCAAACUCCCACGGGAGGCAGCAGUAGGGAAUCUUCCGCAAUGGGCGAAAGCCUGACGGAGCAAUGCCGCGUGAGUGAAGAAGGCCUUCGGGUCGUAAAACUCUGUUAUAAGAGAAGAACAAAUUGUAGAGUAACUGCUACAGUCUUGACGGUAUCUUAUCAGAAAGCCACGGCUAACUACGUGCCAGCCGCCGCCGUAA